UACGUAGGGUGCAAGCGUUAAUCGGAAUUACUGGGCGUAAAGCGUGCGCAGGCGGUUUUGUAAGUCUGAUGUGAAAUCCCCGGGCUCAACCUGGGAAUUGCGAUGGAGACUGCAAGGCUUGAAUCUGGCAGAGGGGGGUAGAAUUCCACGUGUAGCAGUGAAAUGCGUAGAGAUGUGGAGGAACACCGAUGGCGAAGGCAGCCCCGGGGUCAAGAUUGACGCUCAUGCACGAAAGCGUGGGGAGCAAACAGG
RNAcentral lists this ribosomal RNA (252 nucleotides) under uncultured bacterium. Its description in RNAcentral is "partial 16S ribosomal RNA". It matches the Rfam family "Bacterial small subunit ribosomal RNA", at positions 524 to 776 of the family's 1533-position model. The record is from RNAcentral.